GAUGAACGCUGGCGGCGUGCCUAAUACAUGCAAGUCGAGCGAACAGACGAGGAGCUUGCUCCUCUGACGUUAGCGGCGGACGGGUGAGUAACACGUGGAUAACCUACCUAUAAGACUGGGAUAACUUCGGGAAACCGGAGCUAAUACCGGAUAAUAUAUUGAACCGCAUGGUUCAAUAGUGAAAGACGGUUUUGCUGUCACUUAUAGAUGGAUCCGCGCCGCAUUAGCUAGUUGGUAAGGUAACGGCUUACCAAGGCAACGAUGCGUAGCCGACCUGAGAGGGGGGUGGCCCACAUGAAAACUGGACCGCGCUCCAUACCCCGGAGGGAGGAGCCGGUAGGGAAUCUUCAGAAAGGGGCAAAAGCCGAACGGACCAGCCGCGGGGGAGGAAAGAGGGUCUCCGGAUCGAAAAACUCUUUUAUUAGGGAAAAAAAAAUUUGAAAGAAAAUAUCCCCGUCUGGAGGUGCCAUAAUAAGAACACCCGGGCUAACCCCGGG
RNAcentral lists this ribosomal RNA (497 nucleotides) under uncultured bacterium. RNAcentral describes it as "partial 16S ribosomal RNA". It matches the Rfam family "Bacterial small subunit ribosomal RNA", at positions 28 to 507 of the family's 1533-position model. The record is from RNAcentral.